AACGAACGUUGGCGGCGUGGAUUAGGCAUGCAAGUCGUACGAGUUUCCUCUGGGUACCUGGUUGAAAAAAGUGGCGAAAGGGGCAGUAAGGCAUGGAUAAUCUACCCUGAUGACCGGGAUAGCUGUCCCAACGGGCAGGUAAUACCGGAUGAGCUGGUGGGGCCGCAUGGUUCUGCCAGGAAAGGCGCAAGCCGUGUUGGGAUGACUCCUUGUGAUAUUAGCUAGUUGGUGAGGUAAAGGCUCACCAAGGGGAAGAUGUCUAGCUGGUGUGAGGGCAGGACCCGGGCCAUGGGCGCGGAGACAAUGGCCAGGCUCCCACGGGGGGCUGGAGGCGGGGAUCUUCGGAAAUGGGGGAGAGCCUGAACGAGGGACGCCGCGUGAGCGGUGAAGGCCAUUAGGUUGUAAAGCUCUGUCGGGGGGGAACAAGCCGCAAGGUGGAGGGAGCCGUGGAGGAAGCACGGGCUAAGUUCGUG
RNAcentral lists this ribosomal RNA (473 nucleotides) under uncultured bacterium. RNAcentral's name for it is "partial 16S ribosomal RNA". It matches the Rfam family "Bacterial small subunit ribosomal RNA", at positions 28 to 507 of the family's 1533-position model. The record is from RNAcentral.